Rattus norvegicus (Norway rat) is the source of this 1160-nucleotide non-coding RNA. Lineage: Eukaryota; Metazoa; Chordata; Mammalia; Rodentia; Muridae. The record is from RefSeq and is a predicted model, not a curated record.
AUAAAAAAGCCAAUGGCCGAUGAUCUGAGGCAAGAGAUAGGAGAUCAGACACUGGCAGGAAGAGAGAGAAUUCUGGAAAAUACUGAGAGUGACAGCAAAUGCUGUUGAGGAUGUGGAGAAAGAGGAACACUCCUCCAUUUUUGAUGGGAUUGUAGACGGGUACAACCAUUCUGGAAAUCAGUCUGGAGGUUCCUCAGAAAAUUGGACAUUGAACUACCUGAGGACACAGCUAUACCACUCUUGGGCAUAUACCCAAAAAUUGCACCAACAUAUAAGAAAGACACAUGCUCCACUAAAUUCAUAGCAGCCUUAUUUAUAAUAGCCAGAAGCUGGAAAGAACCCAGAUGUUCUUCAACAGAGGAAUGGAUACAGAAAAUGUGGUACAUCUACACAAUGGAAUAUUUCUCAGCUAUCAAAAACAAUGACUUGAGUUCUCUGCACCCAAAUCCCGUGGAAGGGAGAGCUAAACCUUCAGAGAGGCAGACACACCUGGGAAACCAGAAGAGACUGCACUCUGCACACACAUCUCGGGCACCAGAGGAAAACACCAAAUGCCAUCUGGAACCCUGGUGCACGGAAGCUCCCGGAAACGGUGGCGCAGAUCUUCCUGGUUGCUGCCGCCGCAGAGAGCUCCUGGGCAGCACCCCGCGAGCAAACUUGAGCCUCGGGAUCACAGGUCAUCUCCUGACCACCUUCAGGUCAAGAUGCAGAACUCUUGGCUCCUCUAGCACCAUGCCUGCCUGCACGCUGCCAUGUUUACUGACAUGAUGACAACAGAUUAUAAACUUCUGAAACUGUAAGCCAGCACCAAUUAAAUAUUUGCAUUUAUAAAAGUUGCCUUGGUCAUGAUGUCUCUUCACAGCAGUAAAAUCCUGAGACAUCAUGCAUGUUUUAGAAAAAUGGGUAAUUUGACACUGCUAUUUAAUAAGUGAAAUUGUGAGGAUAUCCCGAGUGACGUGAUAAAAAUUGCCCAAAUUAUUAUUUCCUAUUUCUUUAGUUUUUAUUUGCUUAGGAAUUGUUCCAUUUAAAUUUAUUUGUUCAUUUGUUAAUUUAUGUACUUACUUAGUGUGUGAAUGGUGUGUGUGUGUGUGUGUGUGUGUGUGUGAGAGAGAGAGAGAGAGAGAGAGAGAGAGAGAGAAAGAGAAAGUCUGUUGUAUGAA